This 220-nucleotide ribosomal RNA is filed under the name uncultured bacterium. Its description in RNAcentral is "partial 16S ribosomal RNA". It matches the Rfam family "Bacterial small subunit ribosomal RNA", at positions 109 to 334 of the family's 1533-position model. The record is from RNAcentral.
AGUAAUGUAUGGGGAUCUGCCUGAUGGCGGGGGAUAACUACUGGAAACGGUAGCUAAUACCGCAUAAUGUCUGCGGACCAAGCGGGGACCUUCGGGCCUCUUGCCAUCGGAUGUGCCCAGAUGGGAUUAGCUAGUAGGUGGGGUAACGGCUCACCUAGGCGACGAUCCCUAGCUGGUCUGAGAGGAUGACCAGCCACACUGGAACUGAGACACGGUCCAG